RNAcentral lists this long non-coding RNA (851 nucleotides) under Ursus maritimus (polar bear). RNAcentral describes it as "lncRNA (ENSUMAG00000001947.1)". Lineage: Eukaryota; Metazoa; Chordata; Mammalia; Carnivora; Ursidae. The record is from RNAcentral.
AUCAUGAGGUUGGAAGUCUGCAGGAGAGAGGUAUUUAAUGCAAAAGGGGAUUAAAUAAAAUAUAAAGUAUAUUUGAGGGUUCAGAAGGAAAAUAUAAUGUAGUGCAAUAUCAUCAUUAUAAGAACAAACAUUGGAAGCCACCUGGCUGUGCUUGAGUCCCCUCUCUAUUGGCUACACAUCUCCACUGUAUGAUCUAAAGCUUGCCACUUAAUCUCUGUCUCUUGCUUCAUCUGUAAAUUGACUAUAGGAAUAGUAUCUAUCUUACAGACAUGUGAAGACCACACAAUGUGUAUUGCUUUGUUACAAAUUACUGCAAAAUUUAGUGGCUUUAAACAAUGAUAAGCAUGUACUAUCUCUUAUAAUUUCUGUGGGACAAGAAGAUGCAUGGGCUUGGCUGGGGAGCCCUGACUCGAGGUCUGUGAUGAUGUGGCAACCAAGAUGAUAGGGCUCUACUGCAUCACUCACUGGCAAGUAGCGCUGGCUAUUGACAGGAGACCUCAGUUCCUCUCGAUGUGGGCCUCUCCCAAACAUGCUGAAGGGUCCUUAUGAUGUCGUGGCUGUGGCUGGCUUUCUCCAGGGCAAAUGAUAGAGAAGAAGAGCUUGGCAGAGGCUACCCUCUUUACGACCUAAUUUCAGAAUCAUCACAUCACUUCUUCCUUAUUCUACCCAGAAGAAUGAAUCAUUCUGUCCAGCCUGCAUUUGAGGGAAGUGGACACAAAAGGAGGUUAAGCUGGACGGAAGUGGCUUGUUCUUCGUCUGGUGGUCAGUGUUCUCAGAACAUCAGGACUGUCACAAGGAAUUGCAGUCAUCAUUUGCCCCCCUUUCUGCAAAAAUCUGAGGCAAUGGUCUAA